GGAGGACUAGUUCAAUCGGCAGAACGCGGGUUUUUGAAACCCGAUGGUGAUGGUUCGACUCCAUCGUCCUCUU
Molecule: transfer RNA, 73 nt
Filed under: Kofleriaceae bacterium
Lineage: Bacteria; Pseudomonadati; Myxococcota; Haliangiales; Kofleriaceae
Rfam family: tRNA
About the family: Transfer RNA (tRNA) molecules are approximately 80 nucleotides in length. Their secondary structure includes four short double-helical elements and three loops (D, anti-codon, and T loops).
Source: Rfam by way of RNAcentral